Long non-coding RNA from Homo sapiens (human), 3767 nucleotides. RefSeq lists it as uncharacterized. The record is from RefSeq and is a predicted model, not a curated record. The transcript is spliced from 2 exons. Lineage: Eukaryota; Metazoa; Chordata; Mammalia; Primates; Hominidae.
AACAAAAAAACAAAACAAACAAAAAUAAAUAAUUUAAAAAUAAGGGUCUCUGAAGACUUCCUGCUACUUUCUGGGUCCAUGCCCCUCCUCUCCGUCCUCCACUUCCCACCGGGCUCUUCAGGCUCCAGCCUAGAUAACACCAGGUUAAAUUUUGAUCUCCCGGGGACUGGGUGUCGGGAGGGAAAGGCGGGGGGAGUGUCAGAGAGGGGAUGGAUUUCUCCCACCACACUUGGGGAGGCCUCCGGAUGGAUAUGUCCUUCCAGCUGAUGGACCUCAGGAUUGGGAGAAAGAUCGGGGACAAGAGACGGGCACAACAGUCACCUGGUUUCUUUUUCUUCCUUUAUUUUUUGAGACUGAGUCUCGCUGUAUCACCUAGGCUAGAGUGCAGUGACACGAUCUUGGCUCACUGCAACCUCCACUUCCCAGGUUCAAAUGAUUCUCCUGCCUCAGCCUUCUGAGUAUCUGGGAUUACAGGCGUGCACUGCCAUACCCGACUAAUUUUUGGAUUUUAGUAGAGAUGGGGUUUUGCCAUGUUGGCCAGGCUGGUCUUGAACUCCUGACCUCAAGUGAUCUGCCCACCUUGGCCUCCCAACGUGUUGGGAUUACAGGUGUGAGCCACCGUGCCCAGCCACAUGGUGUCUUCCGUGACAGCUCCCUCUCUGCUGAAAUAGCAUUUCCCACCCCCACCCAUGGCAUCACUCUUCUGCUGCCAUUUUCAUCAAAGACUGAUGUCACUUGGCAUGUUUUUAGGUUUUUUUCUGGUGGCUUUUAUUUUUUUAAUUUUAGAGAUGAGGUCUCACUAUGUUGCCCAGCCUAGUCUCAAAUUCCUAAGCUCAAGGGAUCCACCUGCCUCUAUCUCCCAAAGUGCUGGGGUUACAGGCAUGCACCACCACGCCUGGACCACAUUGCAUGCAUUUUAUUUAAAUUUUUUUUUUUUUUUUUUAAGACGGAGUCUCAUUCUGUCACCCAGGCUGAAGUGUAGUGGUGCGAUCUUGGCUCACUGCAAUCCCGGGUUCAAGCAAUUCUCCUACCUCAGCCUCCCGAGUAGCUGGGAUUACAGGCGUGAGCCACUGUGCCCGGCCUUUAUUUAAGAUUUGCCUCCUUAACCAUUACACCUGUAAUCCCAGCCCUUUGGGAGGCUGAGGUGGGCAGAUCACCUGAGUUCAGGUGUUCAAGACCAGCCAGGCCAAGAUGGUGAAACCACAUCUCUACUAAAAAUUCCAAAAUUAGCCAGGCGUGGUAGCAGGCACCUGUAGUCCCAGCUAAUCAGAAGGCUGAGGCAGGGGAAUUGCUUGAACCUGGGAGGUGGAGGUUGCAGUGAGCCAAGAUUGCACCACUGCACUCCAGCCUGGGCAGCAGAGUGAGACUGUCUCACAAAAAAAAAAAAAAGAAGUGUCAGGUGCUGGCAGAGACACUGCUUUUCCCUAAUUGACCUGUUUGGUCCUCACAUUAACCAUAUUUUACAGCUACUCUCAUUUACAGAUAAGGAAACUGGGCCAAUGAGGAGGUGAGAAAUCGCUCAAGGCUGCCAGGUACAGUGGCUCAUCCCUGUAAUCCCAGCACUUUGGGAGGCCAAGGGAGGAGGAUUAAUUGAGGCCAGGAGUUUGAGACCAGCCUAGGCAACAUAAUGAGACUCUGUCUCUACAAAAAAUUUAAAAAUUAGUGGGGUGUGGUGAUGCAUGUGUAGUCCCAGCUACUCCGGAGGCUGAGGUGGGAGGAUCGCUUGAUCCCAGGUGUCUGAGACAGUAGUGAGCUACGAUUGCACCACUGCACUACAACCUCGGUGAUGCAAUGAGACGCUGUCUCAAAAAAAAAAAACCACACACACACAAAACAACAAAAAAACAAAUUGUUCAAGGCGAGCCUGGUGUGCCAAGCCCUUGUUCUGGGCACUUGGCUUAUAUUAUCUCCCUUAAUCCUUCCCACCACCCCAAGUGCUAGAUACUGGGAUUAAUUUAGUUGAGCUGUAAUACAUCAAUACUGUGUGAAAUGCUAUGCAACAUCUAAAAGGAAGACAGGUGGAGCUUUUAUUUAUUUUUUAUUUUAUUUAUUUUUUGAGACGCAGUCUCGCUGCAUUACCCAACCUGGAGUGCAGUGGCACAAUCACAGCUCACUGUAGCCUCAACCUCCUGGGUUCAAACAAUCCUCCCACCUCAGCCUCUCAAGUAGCUGGGACUACAGGCUUACACCACCAAGCUUGGCUAAUUUUUUUUUUUUUUUUUUUUAGAGAUGGUGUUUUGCUAAGUUGUCCACACUGAUCUCAAAAUCCUUUUGUUUUUGCUUUGGAAUGGUCUGGAACUCCUGAGCUCAAGUGAUCCUCCCACCUUGGCCUCCCAAAGGCCUGGGAUUACACGUAUGAGCCACCGCACCAAGCCCAUGUUGAGCUUUUAAGGUAUUAAAGAUCCACUAGGUGAAAAAAAAGAGUGAAAGAUACAUAUGCCAUUUAAGGGAAGCACAGGAAAACUCCUAUUUUGUUUAUAUGUGAAUAGAGGCACAUAGAUGCCUAGAAAAGUGUCUGGGAGGGAAUGAAACCAGAUUGGCCACAAAAAUCACCUCUGGAAAAAGGAAAAGAAUGGGGACUUUCACUUUUUGCUUCAUAUGUUUCAUGUACCUUUUUUUUUUUUUUUUUGAGAUGGAGUUUCACUCUUAUUGCCCAGGCUGGGGUGCAGUGCGAGACCCCGUCUCAAACAAACAAAACAAAACAAAAUGAGGACAAUGGGGCUUCCAAUGGCAACUCGAGACGUUAGUUUACUCCAGAGUCAUGGAGACAGUGAAUGGAGUGUGUGUGUGUGUGUGUGCGUGUGCGUGAGUGAGAGAGAGAGGAAGAAGGGAGGGAGGGACGGUUACAGGAGUGUGGGAAAGUCAACAGGAAAAGGAGGGAAGGUUCGCUGUGAACUGACAGUAACUGUGACAUCACAGGCAUGUGCGGAGUCCCCGCCCCCCCAGGCACUGUGCCAAGGCCAGUACCUUCAUGUCAUGAGACCCUCUCAGCAACUCUGUAACCUUGUCCCCACCAGAAUAUUCCUUUCACAGCUGAGAAAACAACAGCACAGAGAGGAUGAAUUAAAAAUUGUCUAACAUGCUGGGCGCAGUGGCUCACGCCUGUAAUCCCAGCACUUUGGGAUGAUGAGGCAGGUGGAUCACAAGGUCAAGAGAUCAAGACCAUCCUGGCUAACACGGUGAAAACCCGUCUCUACUAAAAAUACAAAAAAGUUAGCCGGGCGUGGUGGCGGGCACCUGUAGUCCCAGCUGCUCGGGAGGCUGAGGCAGGAGUUGCUGGGCACUGGACACAAGGAUUUCUAUCAGUGUGCUCUCCUGCACAUCACCCAGGUCUGGAGUGCCAGGAGGAUCAAAAACAUAGAAUCAAAGAUUAGCCACCUUCCAACUCCAAGUUUCCCCCACCCCAUGCCACCGUUCCUGCCUUGUACAAGUGAAGCAAGCAAUCUCUCCUGGUUUCACCCUAGGAGGUGGAAGGUCCCUGGCCCUGGCUCCAUGUGGCACGUGCUCUGGUCCUUCUCCAGCAGCAGGCUUGUCAGACCCUCCCAGUCCUUCAGCUGAGUCCCUGCACAGUCCCACAGGUUGUCUACUAAGUAAGCAGCGUGGUCGUGGAGCUGGGGAAGGAGGUGCAUGGGGAUUUAGUGAUGGCAUGUUAAAAUACCCUAGGAAGUGGUUACUGAUUAAAUAUCGCUCUCCUUCCUACAGUGUACACCCCCAUCCUUCUCCAUUUGUCUUUUUUUUUUUUUUUUUUGGUAGAGACAGGGUCUCAC